Molecule: unclassified non-coding RNA, 353 nt
Filed under: soil metagenome
Description: partial contains 5.8S ribosomal RNA, internal transcribed spacer 2, and large subunit ribosomal RNA
Rfam family: 5.8S ribosomal RNA (bases 1-120)
Source: RNAcentral
GAUGAAGAACGCAGCGAAAUGCGAUAAGUAAUGUGAAUUGCAGAAUUCAGUGAAUCAUCGUAUCUUUGAACGCACAUUGCGCCCGCCAGUAUUCUGGCGGGCAUGCCUGUUCGAGCGUCAUUACAACCCUCAGGCCCCCGGGCCUGGCGUUGGGGAUCGGCGGAAGCCCCCUGCGGGCACAACGCCGUCCCCCAAAUACAGUGGCGGUCCCGCCGCAGCUUCCAUUGCGUAGUAGCUAACACCUCGCAACUGGAGAGCGGCGCGGCCACGCCGUAAAACACCCAACUUCUGAAUGUUGACCUCGAAUCAGGUAGGAAUACCCGCUGAACUUAAGCAUAUCAAUAAGCGGAGGA